GAUGAACGCUGGCGGCGUGCUUAACACAUGCAAGUCGAACGAAGCACUUUAUUUGAUUUCCUUCGGGACUGAUUAUUUUGUGACUGAGUGGCGGACGGGUGAGUAACGCGUGGGUAACCUGCCUUGUACAGGGGGAUAACAGUUGGAAACGGCUGCUAAUACCGCAUAAGCGCACGGCAUCGCAUGAUGCAGUGUGAAAAACUCCGGUGGUAUAAGAUGGACCCGCGUUGGAUUAGCUAGUUGGUGAGGUAACGGCCCACCAAGGCGACGAUCCAUAGCCGAACUGAGAGGGUGACCGGCCACAUUGGGACUGAGACACGGCCCAAACUCCUACGGGAGGCAGCAGUGGGGAAUAUUGCACAAUGGGCGAAAGCCUGAUGCAGCGACGCCGCGUGAGCGAAGAAGUAUUUCGGUAUGUAAAGCUCUAUCAGCAGGGAAGAUAAUGACGGUACCUGACGAAGAAGCACCGGCUAAAUACGUG
RNAcentral lists this ribosomal RNA (481 nucleotides) under uncultured bacterium. RNAcentral's name for it is "partial 16S ribosomal RNA". It matches the Rfam family "Bacterial small subunit ribosomal RNA", at positions 28 to 507 of the family's 1533-position model. The record is from RNAcentral.